This 343-nucleotide ribosomal RNA is filed under the name Danae testacea. RNAcentral's name for it is "partial 12S ribosomal RNA". Lineage: Eukaryota; Metazoa; Arthropoda; Insecta; Coleoptera; Endomychidae. The record is from RNAcentral.
UUAGAAGUUAUUAAAAAUUCAAAAUUAGUAUUAGUUAAGUUCUUGAAAAUUAAAGAUUUUGGCGGUAUUUUAGUCUUUUCAGAGGAAUCUGUCCUGUAAUUGAUAAUCCACGAUUAAUUAAACUUUAUUUAUUAAUUUGUAUAUCGUCGUAAUAAAAUAUUUUAAAAGAAUUAAUAUUUAUUUUUUAUAAAAAUUAAAAUCAGAUCAAGGUGCAGUUUAUAAUAAAGAAGAGAUGGAUUACAAUAUAAUUUAUAUGUAGAUUAAUUAUUUAAAAUAAUUAUGAAAAUGGAUUUGAAAGUAAUUAAAUAUAUAUAUGUUUAAUGAUUUAAGCUCUAAAAUAUGU